UACGUAGGUGGCGAGCGUUGUCCGGAUUUACUGGGCGUAAAGCGCGCGCAGGCGGUUGACUAAGUCUGGUGUGAAAUUUCCCGGCUUAACUGGGAAGGGUCAUUGGAUACUGGUCAGCUUGAGGAAGGUAGAGGAGAGUGGAAUUCCCGGUGUAGUGGUGGAAUGCGUAGAUAUCGGGAGGAACACCUGAGGCGAAGGCGGGCUACUGGGCUGAUACUGACGCUGAUGCGCGAAAGCCAGGGGAGCAAACGGG
Molecule: ribosomal RNA, 253 nt
Filed under: uncultured bacterium
Lineage: Bacteria
Description: partial 16S ribosomal RNA
Rfam family: Bacterial small subunit ribosomal RNA
Source: RNAcentral